AAACGCUGGCGGCGCACAUAAGACAUGCAAGUCGAACGGACUUAAACUCAUUCUUUACGAUUGAGAGCGGUUAGUGGCGGACUGGUGAGUAACACGUAAGCAACCUGCCUAUCAGAGGGGAAUAACAGUGAGAAAUCAUUGCUAAUACCGCAUAUGCUAACAGUAUCGCAUGAUACAGUUAGGAAAGGAGCAAUCCGCUGAUAGAUGGGCUUGCGUCUGAUUAGCUAGUUGGUGGGGUAACGGCCUACCAAGGCGACGAUCAGUAGCCGAGCUGAGAGGCUCAACGGCCACAUUGGGACUGAGAUACGGCCCAGACUCCUACGGGAGGCAGCAGUCGGGAAUAUUGCGCAAUGGAGGAAACUCUGACGCAGUGACGCCGCGUAUAGGAAGAAGGUUUUCGGAUUGUAAACUAUUGUCAUUAGGGAAGAUAAAAGACUGUACCUAAGGAGGAAGCCCCGGCUAACUAUGUG
RNAcentral lists this ribosomal RNA (470 nucleotides) under uncultured bacterium. Its description in RNAcentral is "bacterial SSU rRNA". It matches the Rfam family "Bacterial small subunit ribosomal RNA", at positions 32 to 507 of the family's 1533-position model. The record is from RNAcentral.